GUGCAGAAUGAGAACAUGCUCCAAGAACUUAUGCCUGUGAAAGGUAUGCAAUUCACAUCAUACGCUGCGGCGCAAAACUUCUACAACACGUAUGCAAGGCAUACAGGCUUCGGCACACGCAAAAACAGCGGAUACAAAACAAAUAGAUACAUAGUGUGCUCAAAGGAAGGCAAAAGCAAGGAAACUGUCACAGAUUAUGACAGAAAGCGAGAGAAAACAACAAAGAGGACUGGCUGCAAGGCGAGAAUCAGAGUGAAAGAAAUCAAGGAUGUGUUUGUGAUAGCAGAGAUUGAGCUCAAUCACAAUCACAGGAUGAUUGAGAGCCUGGCUAUGCUUCUGCACAUGCACUCACAUAACCCGGAUGAUCCGUUACUUGAUAAACUAGUGAAGGACAUGGAGAGAGACAACCUGACGCACACGUAGAUGAUGUCAACCCUGUCAAGAAUGUCAGGAGGGCUGCACUUUAUGGGGCGCACUAGCCGUGACUGAGUGAACAAGAAGCACCAAUUCACGAGGGAGGAACCAGAAGACGAUGUGAAGAAACUCCUGGCUUUCUUUGAGAGAAUGCACCCGGAGUUCUUCUAUGAUUACGACAAAGAUGCGAAUGCGAGCUGUCGGGGAUCCUACGAAGAUUUUGAAGAUUGUGUCACAUUUGACACGACCUACAAGACCAACAAGUUCCACAUGCCUCUGGCCAUCUUCGUUGGAGUCAACCACCACCUCCAAAGUACAAUAUUUGUUGUGGCUCUCAUCACAGACGAAACAAUACCGACUUUCAAGUGGUGCCCCUCCAUGGAUGCCGCGAUUAAAAGUACGCUAAUAGGCACGCUGCACAAGUUAUGCCGUUGGCAUAUACUGAAAAAAUACAAGGAUCACCUGUCCUUGCUGUACAAAGCAUAUGAGACAUUCAAAGAUGAGCUGACCUUAGUUCUCAACCACCCGCUAAUGCCAUCAAAGUUUGAACGCGCUUGGCAUGAGCUCAUCGAGAAGUAUAACUUGCAAAAUGAUGAAAUUAUGAAGGCGCUCUGGACAGACCGAAAAGAAUGAAUAUCAACUUACUACAAGGAGGUGUUCUGUGCACGGAUGACGUCGACACAGAGAAGUGAAAGCAUGAACCGGAUCUUGAAGAGGAACUUUGUCAAGGAAAGACACGACCUACACAUCUUUGCAUCGCAGGUGGACAGGUGUAUCCAGACAAGGAAGGGCGUCGAGCACGCGGAGACCAUAGCUAACGAGACGGAAAUAAAGACUACUACUCAGUUUGGUUUCGAGGUUCAACUCUCCAAGAUUUACACCAGGGCGGUCUUUGCUGACUUCAAGCAAACGCACUACCGCAGCACUGCAUUCAGAUCAGAGCAGUCCCGUGACAACCCAACGAAAUAUUUGGUGCGCCACUACAACUAG
RNAcentral lists this ribosomal RNA (1404 nucleotides) under Triticum aestivum (bread wheat). RNAcentral's name for it is "partial small subunit ribosomal RNA". Lineage: Eukaryota; Viridiplantae; Streptophyta; Magnoliopsida; Poales; Poaceae. The record is from RNAcentral.